UGCCUUUAUAACACUCUUCUUCUCUCCAAAUCAAAGAGGUAUAUAAAUUUCAGGUUUUCAUAAUUUUCUCCAUCCUUUCUGUUGCUGUAGGACCGCUGCCCAUCACCACUACACUACAUCUAUCAUCUGAUAAAUGAUCCAAAGUUUCACCACUGACCCUCUCACACUCUAGAUGAAUUAACUAAUUAUCAACUCAUCUGAUUCUUAGCCAAGCUUCAUAGAUCUGAGAAAAAUCAAACACCGAAAUGAAUUUUUUUUAAAAGUCGCACAGUUCAGGUCAAAAUCCCAGUUAUGUACACUCUAAGGAAUUGGAUAGAGAGUCAAAGAUUUAGCGACUACAUGAAAAUAACCUUUACCUACAAACUUUUCUCCAAUGCAAUAUUGCUAGGAACAAGCCAACAUUCAUAAAAGAGGGAUGACUCAAGUUCAAUAAAAUUUCGAAGGCUUGAUUUAAGUUAGGGUUUUGAGAGUAGAGAAAGGAAGAGGAGAAAAGAGGAGAAAGGAGAAGAGGAAGCAAGAACGUUCCAAAUCAUCGAAGUUCAGGUUGUACAAUUUAUCGGGGGUGAUCUCUAUAAAGAGACUUAUGCCUCCAUGAAGAGUAGUCAAAGGUCGUCUAACUAAGAGAUAUGUUCAGAAAGAAGAGUUGCAAAAUGCAAUUGAAGUGCAACAACAAGGAAAAAUUACCCAUGCUAAAUUCAGUGAGACUAUCUAGAUAUUACGUCGAGUUGCGACUCAUGAAGUUAGACAUAGAGGUAAUUGAAAGGAAGUGGAUAAUACUUCAGAGAUCCGUAUGUUUUUAUAGAUGAAUUAACCAAUAUUCACAGGUUGAAGUGUCACAGAGGACCCCGAGAACUUUGCUGAAGUCCUUCAAAAAGCUUUUGACAUAUUGCAUGUUGUUGAUGCUGAGAGGGUGGAACUAGAUGCAUACCAAAUAAAGGGUAUCUCUAGAGUCUUAUUUUCCCAACGGAAAAAGUAUAGGGUUGAGGAUGUACCAAUUGUAAGUUGGGUUGUGUUUGAGAAUGUUCUCAUGGGACGUUUCAUUCGCUGUGAGUUGUGAGAGCAAAUGAUAAGAGAGUUUCUAACCCUUAAUCCUGCGUUUAUGAGUAAUAAUGAGUACGGUCUGUUGCACAAAUUUCCUGCUAUGAUCUGGAGAUGGUUGUUGACAUGAGGAGCAUAAUGAUUUUAUUUUUGGCUGGGUUGUCUCAUUAGUCAAUAAAGGAAGGAAAAAAAGCAAUGCUGAUUGGGGAUAGGCACCUAGACUUGUUAAUGAUCUAUGUACAACAAGUCUGGGAAACAAGUUCAUGCAACAAAAGAAUAAUGCCAACAGGUCCUCCCUACAUUAGAAGCAAAAGGGACCUACUCCAUCAUCUAUGAGUGCACCUAUACCUAAGAACAAAAGUGAGUACAAUAGUCAGAACUUCCGAGCUAAUCCAGCCUAUUUUAAAGUCUGUAUGUCACAAAGGGAUGGUAGACCUCAUGCAUGUGGUGAGAAUGGCAGAAACCACUUCUUAUUUCUUGUGAGGGCUUUACUAGUUGUUUUAAGUGUGGUCAAAAUAGUCGUUUUCUGAGGGAGUGUCUUGAGAACUAGAAAGGUAUGGAAAUCAAGGAAAAAGGUCCAAUCUUCUCCAGUUUCUCCACCGAAAAGAGCUGCAUCUAGAGGGGCUACUUCCAAUAGCGGGGGAAGAAAAAAUCUCUUAUAGGCUAUCAACACUCGUCAAGAGCAAGAGGGUUAACUAGAUAUUGUCACCGGUGAAGUCUUUGACUUUACUGUUCAUUUUUUGCUAGACCCAGGAAUGAUUUUAUCUUUCGUAAAUCUAUAUGUUUCUAUGUGAUUUGAUGUUAUACUGAGCAUUUUAGCGAAAUAUCCAGUGUUUUUAAACCUCUUGGUGAGUCUAUUGUAAUAGAGAGAGCCUAUCGUGAUUUUCCCAUUUUCGCCAAUCACAAAAGUACCAUGACUAAUUUAGUUGUGUUAGACAUGGUAGAUUUUGUUGUCAUUCUAGGUAUUAAGUGGCUUCUUGCAGCUAUGACUCAGUUGAAUCUAGAACUCGAGUACUCAUUUUAAAGUUUCCAAAUGAGCCAACCUUAGUGUGGAAAACAAUUUAGUAGUGCGGAAAAGUCUAUUUAUGUCGUACAUUAAGGCGAGAAAAUUACUUUGUAAGGGGUGUCUGUAUCCCUUAGUCUAUGACUCUAGUGUUGAGAUACCUCUUAUUCAGUCAAUUCCAGUAGUGAAAGAGUUUCCAGAAAUCUUUCCACAUAAUCUUCUGGGAUUCCCGUGUGAGAGAGAGAUAGACUUCAACAUAAAAGUUUUUCUAGAUACUCGUCCUGGAUCUAUCUUUCCAUAUAGGAUGGAAGCAACAGAGUUUGAAGGGUUAAAAGAAAAAUUGAAAGAUCUAUUAGAUAAGGAUUUCUUCGACCAUCUAUAUCACGUUGGGGCGCUCUGGCCUUAUUUGUGAUAAAGAAAUAUGGUUGCCUUAGGAUAUACAUAGAUUAACGCCAAUUGAACAAUGUUAUGAUCUGUAACAAUUGAGGGGCACCUCCUAGUAGUUACAAGGUGUAAUCGACCUAUGGAAGGUCUCAUUCAUGCCACACGUAUCAAUCAUUGUAUACGAUACUCAAAAUAAGUAAGAAUUCAAAUCUUUCUUCACGAUGAAGAAUACAUUCAUUAAUAAACAAGCAGAAUACUUUUAAAAAUAUUAUACCUUUACAAUGUGUCAGUAAACCAUCUAUACGUUAGAAUACAACAUUUGGGACUUAGCCCAUACAACACUUGAAAUAAGCACUAAAAAUGAACAUUUGGGUCUUGUCCUCGAAUCUAUGUGGACACACCAAAGCAUUAUUAUUAACACUUUGAAACCUAUUCAUCAUCCAUAGAAUAUAAAGAAAUUAAAUCCCUAAUGUUUAGUCAAAAAGGUAAAAGGAGUUAAAACAUUUAAUUCACUAAGAAUGGAAGCCAUGCAAAAACCAUGAAAAAGGGACAUUUUUAGUAUGAAAACAAGAUUUCAUGACAUUUAGAUAAAACCUUCACAAUAAGUGUUUAAGCGACAUAAAUAUACAAGUUAACUAUCACAUAUAAGAAACAUUCAAAUAAUCCACAACCUACAAAAGUUUAUCCUAUGACCCACCUACGUAUGAUAUCAAGUGGCCGCCCAUACAUCCUCUUCAUAAACACCUUGGUGAUCCUCUAGACUACCCAAAGUAAGGAUAUUCAUUUUCAUCACAUAACACUUAACUCCAUAUUCAUAAAAUAAGCCUUCUCAUUAUUUAUAGUCCCUAUCAAAGGUUAAUCUAAGAGUCAGUUGAGUAAGAUAUGAAAAGGCCACCCAUACACCCUCUUCAAGGACACCUAAGAAAUCCUCAAAGCUACCAUAGAAAAGAACCUCUCUAUUCAACACGCUUUAACAAAAUUAACAUUAUUGGUCAAAUCAAUUUAAAAUACAACAAAAAAAUUAGGGGACUUAACAUAAUGGUCUUGGAUGACCUAGGGAACUUAUUCUAGCAUAUUCAAGGGCUACUCCUGCCAUGUAUAGAUAGAGUCAUUCCACUACAUACAUGUUGUAGAGCCCAUCCAAUACUAGAGUGUACAUCAUAUAUGAUGAUAAUAGGCAUUAAACUAAAUAGACCAUACUAUCUAGGUAUGUAAUCUUGUGGCCUAAAACCCACACUGUGGAAGGUGUUCUACUUGACAAAGGUAGAACUAAGACUCAUCCCAUGUUUGCACAUAGUUAAGGGAUAUAAAGGGUUUCUUUAUACUCUAGUUUCAUACAUUAGUAGAGAUACUACCAUAAGCAUACCACUCAGUUCUUUUCUUUCUAUCUCAUAGAGUAAAUUUAUACACGUGAAGGUAUUCGAGAAGGUACCAUUUCUUAGUCUUACAAACUCAUAGUACCCCUACCAUGAAUGAGUAAACUAGGACUACCACUCAAGGUCUAUUAGCGCUGUUGAUUUUUAAUUUUCUUUUCAUAUUCAAGGUUUCAUACAAGUCUUUCAUAUAAGGUAACCACUAUAAGUCUACUGAUUCUAGACUUUUAUUGAAUUAUGCGUCCAUUCACAUACAUGGCAAGGGUGCCAAUUUCUACCAAGUUAAGAGAUCACCUUCACAAAAUUUUCAUGUAUCAAUCAGAAGGAAAUAAGUCUAACAAUAUAGACACAACAUUUUUCAUAUAACAUAGUAAAUAACCUUCAAGUACCUAGUGCGGACAACUAAUUCUACCAACACAAGAUGCUACAUCAUUCAAUAAGGACAUGUAACACACCCAAAAUUGAAUUAGGGAAAUAUAGAGCCUAACAUGAGUGUGUAAUGAUAUUAUAAGGUCUUUAAAUGACUAAUAAUAGUCUUAAGAUGAAGUGUGUAAUAUUUGGGAGUGUUAUGGAGUCAAACAACAAAGAACGUCUAAGACGUUCGAAAACUAGUCGAGGUUGAACUAGUGUUUCAUAGUAUUUUGUAGUGAGUUUUGGGGUAUGUUUUGAGGGUAAAAUUUAUUAUGACAUGUAAAGGAUUGAAAAGUCUGAGAACGACGCCCCUAGGACCAGCCUAAGGGUCCCCAAGGAGGACCCAAACAUGGUCCAAGCAAGCUGCCACACUAGCAAAGAAUUGGCAGUAGCUGCGCGUCCCGUAGCCUGCAUUGGUAUGGGAAAGUUUUUACCUAAGUUGCGAGUAAAUCACGAAUCAUUCUGUCUCAAAUUUUUUAAGAACCAAGAAUUGAAAAUGCCUCUGCGAUGCGUAGUGACCUCAAAGAUUUGGCCUCGUCAUCUUUUAUUCAAAUUAGAAUUGGUUAAAAUGUCCAUUAAGUGCAUGGGUCUUUUGGGAACUUUAGAGAUUAAUUAUUUGUGGUUAUUUUUGGUAUUUGAAGUAUAUAAAAUUAUUAAAAUAGACAUUUAUACAUUAAACUCCAAAUCAAAACCUUUCUCUCACAAAAUUCUCCCUAAUCUACCAUUGAAGAAGAAGAGAAAUUGGAGGCAGCUUUAGGACGAAUUUACUAAGUUUUCAAGCUGGGUUUAAGGAUCUAACAUAAUUUAUGUGAAUUUUAGUCAUCAAUGUAUUCUUCUAUUCAUGGAGUCCCCCCUAGUUUACCAAAAUUGUAAAUCCAAAAUACCCAAUCUAGGAUGGGUUGUGAUUUCAUUACCUGAAUUAACGAGAUUAGCUUCUAAUGAUAGUUUAGGAGUGAGGAUUCAUACUCCACUAUUGGAUAGCUUGUAUCUAUAUGAUUGGUUGCAUGGUGAUUAGGAUGGUUGUAUCCUUCUUUAGUUAACUUUGUAAGUAUGAUGACAUACUUUUUAUGGUAGUAGGUAUAUUAUGAUAGUAAUUUGAGCUUAAUGGACAAGGUUAUAAGAUAAGUUAGCUUGGAUUAUGUUAGUCUAGAGAAAUAUUUAGUUUGGAUGGUAGUAUGGUAUGCUAUCCAUACAUUUCACAAGUAUGACUUGUAGCUACCUAUGACAUGACCCCUAUGGUAUGUAUGCUUAGCUUGGAUAGUGAUGAUAGUUGCAUUUCAUGACAGGAUUGACUCAAGAUGAUAGUUCCUUGUCAAUAUAAAGUAGGUUUACUAGAUACUCCUAAGAUAAAAUUAAAGGAAUAGGGUGACUUCAAUAUAUGCUUGGUGUGUGAGGUACAAUGUUAUGCUUAACAUGUAUCACACAAGUUUGUUUUGAGGUGGUGUUGGGGUAUAGUGCUCAUAUGUUAUGAAGAAUCUAGGUUCUAAUUAUGAUAGUGGAUUAUGAUCAAGAAUUACCAAAAACAUGUACUAUGAUUUUAUAGUAGUAUGGGAUGCUACCUUAGUUUUGCAAAAGUAUACUUGGAGGUGAGUAGUCAAGUAGGACAUUUUAGUAUGAAGGACAAUGAGUUAUGUACGAAAUCUUAUACCAUUUAUGAUGCUUCAUUAUGCUUAUGUUAUUCAUGUUAUGCUUAUGCUUUAUGUCUUAUGAUUAUGUCUAAUAUUGGAUAACCUUUGAGAUAUCUUAUGCUAUAAUAUGAUUGUUUCCAUAUAUUUUGCCUACAUUCUAAUCCAAUGUAGGGUCUUGAGGAGAUUGAGUUGCUUUCAAGGGUAGAUUUUCCAAGGCUUUCAAGAAGUGAAGAGUGGUGAUUCCUUAUAGCAUCCGAGGACACCACCACGAUGAUGUCUUUUAUGUUCAAUUUUUAUGGUUUGUGACCCAAGACUAUUGUAGUCAUGAUUCUAUAGAUGGUUUUAUAGAAAUAUGUUAGAACUUUUAUAAAAUAAUUCCGCAUUAUGUUUUGAAAGAGAACUUUUAAUUCUGCCCUACUUUUCGUAUUUAUGCAGUGAAUGAUUUCUAAGGUCUUUCACAAGACCUCCGAGAGGUCAAGUACGUCGUGUUCCCACUUGAAGGAUGCCCUAUAUUCUAGGGUGUACAUUGGGUCGUGACAAGCAUAAUAUCAGAGCAUAAGGUUAGGAAAUGGUCUUAGGAUAUGUCAAAACCACAUCUAGUAGAGUCUUAUUCAUUGGUGUAAGUCGUGAAACAUCUAUGAGUGGGAGACUACAAGAUGCUUAAGAAAUAUUCACUUGUUCAUUAUUCAAGUCAUGCUAUAGUGUUUGGCUUGAGUAAGACUUCCUUCUAACGUAACCUAUGAUUUGCUACCACUAGGGCUAAUGCUCGAAGGGAUAGAGAUGGAAUUGAGAAUCAAGAGGUUCCUCCCCAAGGGAAUCAAGUUCCUCCCCAAGUUCCUAAUGCUUUUCUAGUGGAGAAUGUUACUCUAGAGGCAUUAAAGAUUUCUAUAAAUUUGUUAGCUCAAGCCUUGACGGUCCAAGCCAACAGGGAGUGGUGGCUAAACCUAUAGGGGGAAUCUGUGCUUAUAGAAUUAGACAGUUCUUGAGGAUGACCCAUCCGGAACUUAGUGGAUCCAAGGUAGAGGAUGAUCCAAAUGGGUUCAUAUAUGAGGUGUAUAAGACUCUUGCUAUUAUGGGUUUGACUUGUAGGGAGAAAGGGGAGUUAGCCGCUUACCAAGUGAAAGAUGUAGCUCAAUUUUGGUAUGACCAAUGGAAUGAUUCUACGCCAGUAAGGGCGGGUCCUAGAGAGUGGGAUAAUUUUAAGUAGACUUUCCUUGAUAGGUUCUUUCCUAGGGAAUUGAGAGAGGCUAAGUUGGGGGAAUUCAUAAACCUCAAACAAGGAAAGUUGAGUAUUAAGGAGAAUGCUUUCUAAAUAUGCUCGAAGGUUGGUAGCAAAGUCUAGAGACUUUAUGAAUCGGUUCAGGACGGGGGUGUACGAUUAGUUGAGGAAGAGUUUCAUAUGGCAAUGCUUGUAGAUGAUAUAGAUAUCUCCAAACUAAUGUUGUUUGCUCAACAAAUAGAAGAGUCUAAGUUUAAGAAGGACAUGAAGAGAGUAAGGAUAUAAUGUUAAGGGCCCGAUAGACAUGGUCAUUCUAAGAAUCAUCAUAAGUCUUCAGGUCAUGACUCAUCUAGUACUCCUAGGUAUGAGAAGAGUAAUGAGUAUUCCCGACCUACUUGCACUAGGUGUGGUAAGAAACACGAGGUUAGGUACUUGUCCGAUAGAUAUGGUUGCGAUGGGUAUGGUGAGAGUGGUCAUAUGAUGAAAGGUUUCCCUAAGGCAAAAUAUAAUGUAAGAUAAGGCAAUCAUGUUGUGACUAAUCAAGUGGAAGAUGGUUUUCCAAAGAGGAAUAUGUUAUAUGCUCUCCUAUCUAAGGGUGAUCAAGAAUGAUAUCCUUUUGUCCCUCUCCAGUAUGUGUUUCUUUAAUGAUUUAUAAAUUUUUUAAGAAUUUUUUAUGAUUAUGACAUGCUUUAUGAUUUUCCUUCUCUUAAUACAAAUGAUAUGAUGUUAAGGAGACAUGUGUAACUUAUUCCCAAGUGGGGGAUACAGAGCCCUUUUCAUAAGGUCUUUAUAUGAUUAUGUGUAGUUAUGAUUAUCUUAGAAUUGAAUUGUUUCCUUUAUUUGAAUAUGUUCAUUUACAUAUAAUUCAUAUAUAAUAGGAUACUAUUCUAGAGUUGGUCCUUUAUGAAAUGUGUAAUUAGGUGUCAUUCGAGGACAAAUGUUUCCCAAGUAUGGGAUAUUGUAACACCCCUUAAAUUGAACUAGGUCAAGAUAGAGCCUAACAUGAGUUUUUCAUGAACUUAUAAGGUCUUAAAAUGACUAAUAAUACUGUUUAGAGUAAAUUUUUAAAUUUUGGAUUUGUUUUGAGGUCAAACAUCCAAGAACGUCAAAGGCGUCCGGAAACUAGUCGAGGUGGAACUAGUGUGUCUUAGUGUUUAAUCGUGGAGUUUUGGGGUAUAAUUUGAUGGUGAAAUUGAGUAUUGAUUUUUCCUAUACAUAGACUCACAUAUAAAAGAUCUAAAUUUAAGGUCCCCAAGGAGGACCCAAACAUGGUCUAAGCAAGCUGCCGCGCCAGCAAAGAAUUAGAGGUAGCUGCGCGUAGCGCGGCCUGCACUAAGAUGGGAAUUUUUUCCCUGAUAUGGAAGGACAUCGCGAACCAUUAUGUAUCAAAAAUUUCCAGAACCAAGAAUUGAAAAUUCUUGCGCGAUGUGUAGUGACCUCCAAGAUUUGGUCGCGUCAUUUAUAAGUCAAAUUAGAAUUGGAUAAAUUAUCCAUUAAUUGCAGGGGUCUUUAUGGAACUUUAGGAAUUAAUAUUGAUGUUUAUUUUAAGAAUUUUAAGUGUAUAAAGUAGUACAAUAUCCAUUUAGACACUAUUAUCAAAUUAUAACCUUUCUCUCCUAUACACCGGCUAAAACCACCAUUGAAGAAGAAGAGAAAUUGGAGGUAGAUUCAAGAAAUAUUCACCAAGGUUCAAGAUGGGUUCAAGAAUCUAAUAUAAGGUAUUGAGUAGAUUGAGUUGCUUUCAAGGGUAAAGUUUCCAAGGCUUUCAAGAAGUGAAGAUUUGUGAGUCCUCAUAGCAUCCGAGGACACCACCACUAUGAUGUUUUUAUGUUCUUUUCUAUGUUAGAAUUUUCAUGGGCUUUUACCCAAGACUAUUGUACUCAUUAUGUCAUAGAUUCCACAUUAUGUUUUGCAAGAAAAGUUCUGAUUCCACG
Non-coding RNA from Solanum lycopersicum (tomato), 8990 nucleotides. NCBI's taxonomy places the organism in Eukaryota, Viridiplantae, Streptophyta, Magnoliopsida, Solanales, Solanaceae. The record is from RefSeq and is a predicted model, not a curated record.